RNAcentral lists this ribosomal RNA (253 nucleotides) under uncultured bacterium. Its description in RNAcentral is "partial 16S ribosomal RNA". It matches the Rfam family "Bacterial small subunit ribosomal RNA", at positions 524 to 776 of the family's 1533-position model. The record is from RNAcentral.
UACGUAGGACGCAAGCGUUGUCCGGAAUUAUUGGGCGUAAAGAGCUCGUAGGCGGUUUGUCGCGUCUGUCGUGAAAGCUUGGGGCUUAACCCCAAGUCUGCGGUGGAUACGGGCAGACUAGAGGCAGGUAGGGGAGAACGGAAUUCCCGGUGUAGUGGUGGAAUGCGUAGAUAUCGGGAGGAACACCAGUGGCGAAGGCGGUUGCCUGGAGCUUUGCUGACGCUGAGGCGCGAAAGCGUGGGGAGCGAUCCGG